This 254-nucleotide ribosomal RNA is filed under the name uncultured bacterium. Its description in RNAcentral is "partial 16S ribosomal RNA". It matches the Rfam family "Bacterial small subunit ribosomal RNA", at positions 524 to 776 of the family's 1533-position model. The record is from RNAcentral.
GACGGAGGGAGCAAGCGUUGUUCGGAAUUACUGGGCAUAAAGGGCGCGUAGGCGGUAGAGCAAGUCAGUUAGUGAAAGCCCCUGGCUCAACCAGGGAAUUGCUUCUGAUACUGCUUUACUUGAGUGUAGGAGGGGAGAUUGGAACUCUUGGUGGAGCGGUGAAAUGCGUAGAUAUCAAGAGGAACGCCGGUGGUGAAAACGGAUCUCUAUCCUAUUACUGACGCUGAGGCGCGAAAGCCAGGGGAGCAAACGGG